This 406-nucleotide ribosomal RNA is filed under the name uncultured bacterium. RNAcentral's name for it is "partial 16S ribosomal RNA". It matches the Rfam family "Bacterial small subunit ribosomal RNA", at positions 29 to 526 of the family's 1533-position model. The record is from RNAcentral.
AUUGAACGCUGGCGGCAGGCCUAACACAUGCAAGUCGAGCGAGCGGCGGACGGGUGAGUAAUGUCUGGGAAACUGCCUGAUGGAGGGGGAUAACUACUGGAAACGGUAGCUAAUACCGCAUACCAUCAGAUGUGCCCAGAUGGGAUUAGCUAGUAGGUGGGGUAACGGCUCACCUAGGCGACGAUCCCUAGCUGGUCUGAGAGGAUGACCCGCCACAGUGGACCUGGUAAAGGAACCAGCAUCCUACGGAGGGCAGCAGUGGGGAAUAUUGCACAAUGGGCGCAAGCCGGAUGCAGCCAUGCCGCGUGUGUGAAGAAGGCCUUCGGGUUGUAAAGCACUUUCGGCGGGGAGGCGUUACCCGCAGAAGAAGCACCGGCUAACUCCGUGCCAGCAGCCGCGGUAAUAC